Molecule: unclassified non-coding RNA, 18 nt
Filed under: Brugia malayi
Lineage: Eukaryota; Metazoa; Nematoda; Chromadorea; Rhabditida; Onchocercidae
Description: partial trans-spliced leader sequence SL1
Source: RNAcentral
AAUUACCCAAGUUUGAGG